UGAGACUCUGUGCGCGUGCAUAUCAAUAAGCGGAGGAAAAGAAACUAACUAGGAUUCCCUCAGUAACGGCGAGUGAAGCGGGAAGAGCUCAAAUUUGAAAUCUUAAAGGUUUCCCUUGACGAAUUGUAGUUUAAAGAAGUGUUUUCUGUUGGAGUUUCGGUAAAAGUUCUUUGGAAUAGGACAUCAUAGAGGGUGAGAAUCCCGUAUUUGACCGUUACUUUCUAGCUGUGUGAUACACUUUCAAAGAGUCGGAUUGUUUGGGAAUGCAGUCCAAAAUGGGUGGUAAAUUUCAUCUAAAGCUAAAUAUUGGCGAGAGACCGAUAGCGAACAAGUACCGUGAGGGAAAGAUGAAAAGAACUUUGAAAGAGAGUUAAACAGUACGUGAAAUUGUCAAAAGGGAAGCGUUUGACACCAGUGUUGUUUUUCCGAAAAUCAAUUAUGAAUGGCUUGACUUUAAGUUUCAUGACCUUAAAAGCUUGUUUCUUAUUUUUCAUGUCUUUCGUAAUGCACUUUUCGGUUAACAAGUCAACAUCAAUUUCUUUUGUUGUAGAAGGGUCAGUAGGAAGGUGGCUUUACUCUUCGGAGUAAAGUGUUUAUAGCCUUUGCUCUCUGCAAUCGGAGAGAUUGAGGUCUGCAGCGUAGAUCCUUCGGGGUUAAAUACAUUUGUGCUAAGCUAUAGCCUUUUAUAGACAACUUGUUGACUAUGCUCAGUCAUGUAGCUUACUCGCUUAUGCUAUUUUACCUACGCUUAGGAUGUUGAUCUGUAGUGCGUGCGC
RNAcentral lists this ribosomal RNA (776 nucleotides) under uncultured Neocallimastigales. RNAcentral describes it as "partial large subunit ribosomal RNA". It matches the Rfam family "Eukaryotic large subunit ribosomal RNA", at positions 23 to 646 of the family's 3401-position model. The record is from RNAcentral. Lineage: Eukaryota; Fungi; Neocallimastigomycota; Neocallimastigomycetes; Neocallimastigales.